Molecule: ribosomal RNA, 2652 nt
Filed under: human gut metagenome
Description: bacterial LSU rRNA
Rfam family: Bacterial large subunit ribosomal RNA
Source: RNAcentral
AGUGUAUGUGGUGGAUGCCUUGGCGAUCACAGGCGAUGAAGGACGUGACAGCCUGCGAAAAGCUGUGGGGAGCUGGCAAAUAAGCUUUGAUCCACAGAUGUCCGAAUGAGGGAACUCACCUGCUUUGCAGGUAUCCCAUCCUGAAUAUAUAGGGAUGGGAGGCGAACGAAGCGAACUGAAACAUCUAAGUAGCUUCAGGAAAAGAAAUCAACCGAGAUUCCGAAAGUAGCGGCGAGCGAAAUCGGAUCAGCCCAGCACUCGAUAGCAGCCAACUUACGGGAACGGUCUGGAAAGUCCGGCCAUAGAGGGUGAUAGCCCCUUACUGGAAAAGGCAGCUGUGGUACUAAGUGUGCGAUAAGUAGAGCGGGACACGUGACAUCCUGCUCGAAGAUGGGGGGACCAUCCUCCAAGGCUAAAUACUCGUGAUCGACCGAUAGCGUACCAGUACUGUGAAGGAAAGGUUAAAAGAACCCCGGGAGGGGAGUGAAAUAGAUCCUGAAACCGCAUACAUACAAACAGUAGGAGCCUCGUUAAGGGGUGACUGCGUACCUUUUGCAUAAUGGGUCAGCGACUUACGUUUAAUGGCGAGCUUAACCGUAUAGGGGAGGCGCAGCGAAAGCGAGUUCGAACAGAGCGUUCAGUCGUUAGGCGUAGACCCGAAACCAGAUGAUCUAUCCAUGGCCAGGUUGAAGGUGUGGUAACACACACUGGAGGACCGAACCGACUAGUGUUGCAAAAUUAGCGGAUGAGCUGUGGAUAGGGGUGAAAGGCUAAACAAAUCUGGAGAUAGCUGGUUCUCCCCGAAAACUAUUGAGGUAGUGCCUCGUGUAUGACUCCAGGGGGUAGAGCACUGUUAUGGCUAGGGGGACAUGGCGUCUUACCAAACCAUGGCAAACUCCGAAUACUUGGAAGUUUGAGCACGGGAGACAGAGCACCGGGUGCUAACGUCCGGACUCAAGAGGGAAACAACCCAGACCGCCGGCUAAGGUCCCUAAUAUUGACUAAGUGGAAAACGAAGUGGAAAGGCUAAGACAGUCAGGAAGUUGGCUUAGAAGCAGCCAUCCUUCAAAGAAAGCGUAAUAGCUCACUGAUCGAGUCUUUCUGCGCGGAAGAUGUAACGGGGCUAAGUCAAUAACCGAAGCCGCGGAUUCACACUUGUGUGUGAGUGGUAGGGGAGCGUUCUGUAAGCCUGCGAAGGUGACUCGUAAGGGUUGCUGGAGGUAUCAGAAGUGCGAAUGCUGACAUGAGUAACGUUAAAGCGGGUGAAAAGCCCGCUCGCCGUAAGCCCAAGGUUUCCUGCUCUACGUUCAUCGGAGCAGGGUGAGUCGGCCCCUAAGGUGAGGCUGAGAAGCGUAACUGAUGGGAACAAGGUUAAUAUUCCUUGACCACCGCUGAAUGCGAAGGGGGGACGGAGUAUUGAAGAUCAUCCGGGUGUUGGAUAUCCCGGUUUGCGAGCGUAGGAGGCUGACAGGCAAAUCCGUCAGCGAAUCUCCGAGGCGAAGCAUCGAGCUCUCUUUUGAGCGAAGUGAUUGGAUGUGCUUCCAGGAAAAGCCUCUAAGCUCCAGUUCAGCGGGACCGUACCGCAAACCGACACUGGUGGGCGAGCUGAAUAUGCUCAGGCGCUUGAGAGAACUCAGGAGAAGGAACUCGGCAAAUUGACACCGUAACUUCGGGAUAAGGUGUGCCUUUGUAGCGUGGAGGGAGAAACACCCCGAGCGCGAAGAGGUCUCAGAUAAUCGGUGGCUGCGACUGUUUAUUAAAAACACAGCACUCUGCAAAGACGAAAGUCGACGUAUAGGGUGUGAUGCCUGCCCGGUGCUGGAAGAUUAAUUGAUGGGGUGCAAGCUCCUGAUCGAAGUCCCAGUAAACGGCGGCCGUAACUAUAACGGUCCUAAGGUAGCGAAAUUCCUUGUCGGGCAAGUUCCGACCUGCACGAAUGGCAUAACGAUGGCCACACUGUCUCCUCCUGAGACUCAGUGAAGUUGAAGUGUUUGUGAUGAUGCAAUCUCCCCGCGGCUAGACGGAAAGACCCCAUGAACCUUUACUGUAGCUUUGCAUUGGACUUUGAACCGAUCUGUGUAGGAUAGGCGGGAGCCUGUGAAACCACAACGCCAGUUGUGGCGGAGGCGUCCUUGAAAUACCGCCCUGAUUUGUUUGAGGUUCUAACCUGGGACAGUCAUCCUGUCCGGGGACCGUGCAUGGUAGGCCAUAUAUGUGGACUGAUGCUGAAGCAACAACAUUGUGGGAGGUUCUCCCAAUAAAUAAACAGAGUAAAGAAUUUUGUCUGCAGAAUCGUUCUUCAUUGAACCAUCCUAUGCAGGGAGGGUAUGAUACGUGGUUUUAUGAAGAUAUAGCAGGUAUUCGAGUUGACGAAUCGGGGGCAGGAUUUAAAGUCGUUCGAUUAGAGCCUACAAUGGCCUCUUAUUUGGAAUGGGCUUCUGCUUCCGUAUAUUCGGGAUAUGGUAAGACUGUUAGUGAUUGGUUUUGGAAAAAUGAUCAGUUUAUUUGGAAAAUAGAACUUCCUGCGAAUACAUCGGGAUUAGUCGCUUUACCGAAUGGGCGACAAGUUGAAAUUAAUGGUAUAGAUUUUAGUAAGGAAACAUUUCCAUUAGUUGAAAAAAGAGAAAAGAGUAAUCUCUAUUGUUUUUUAUC